CCGACGGUGAGGGAUGAAAGCUGGGGGCACGAACCGGAUUAGAUACCCGGGUAGUCCCAGCCGUAAACGAUGCUCGCUAGGUGUCAGGCAUGGCGCGACCGUGUCUGGUGCCGCAGGGAAGCCGUGAAGCGAGCCACCUGGGAAGUACGGCCGCAAGGCUGAAACUUAAAGGAAUUGGCGGGGGAGCACAACAACGGGUGGAGCCUGCGGUUUAAUUGGACUCAACGCCGGACAACUCACCGGGGGCGACAGCAAUAUGUAGGCCAAGCUGAAGACUUUGCCUGAAUCGCUGAGAGGAGGUGCAUGGCCGUCGCCAGUUCGUACUG
RNAcentral lists this ribosomal RNA (326 nucleotides) under uncultured archaeon. RNAcentral's name for it is "bacterial SSU rRNA". It matches the Rfam family "Archaeal small subunit ribosomal RNA", at positions 691 to 1016 of the family's 1478-position model. The record is from RNAcentral.